AGAGCGAACGCUGGCGGCAGGCCUAACACAUGCAAGUCGAGCGCCCGUAGCAAUACGGGAGCGGCAGACGGGAGAGUAACACGUGGGAACGCGCCCUUCGGUUCGGAAUAACUCAGGGAAACUUGAGCUAAUACCGGAUACGCCCUUACGGGGAAAGAUUUAUUGCCGAAGGAACGGCCCGCGUCCGAUUAGCUAGUUGGUGAGGUAAUGGCUCACCAAGGCGACGAUCGGUAGCUGGUCUGAGAGGAUGACCAGCCUCACUGGGACUGAGACACGGCCCAGACUCCUACGGGAGGCAGCAGUGGGGAAUAUUGGACAAUGGGCGCAAGCCUGAUCCAGCCAUGCCGCGUGGAUGAUGAAGGCCUUAGGGUUGUAAAGUCCUUUUAACGGGGAGAUAAUGACGGUACCCGUAGAAUAAGCCCGGCUAACUUCGCGCCAGCAGCCGC
RNAcentral lists this ribosomal RNA (446 nucleotides) under uncultured bacterium. RNAcentral describes it as "SSU rRNA". It matches the Rfam family "Bacterial small subunit ribosomal RNA", at positions 26 to 518 of the family's 1533-position model. The record is from RNAcentral.